RNAcentral lists this non-coding RNA (195 nucleotides) under bovine gut metagenome. RNAcentral describes it as "raiA RNA". It matches the Rfam family "raiA RNA". The record is from RNAcentral.
UAUGGGUCUGUGGUUGCAAGUCGAAGCCAGUCGCAGGCGAAACGAUCCACGUAAGCGGGCAAAGAUCCGUGAGCAUGGUGCGGCUUAGAAGUAAGACCAACCGGGUGACCGAGAGGGGCAGUAGUGGGGAGCCAUAUGGGCUUAGGAGCGAACCCUCCUGUUGGCGAGUGUGGGGGCAAAGACCAGGUCAGCCAU